UUGAUCUCAAAUCAGGUAGGACUACCCGCUGAACUUAAGCAUAUCAAUAAGCGGAGGAAAAGAAACUAACAAGGAUUCCCCUAGUAACUGCGAGUGAAGCGGGAAGAGCUCAAAUUAAAAAUCUGGCGUCCUCUGGCCGUCUGAGUUGUAGUCUGGAGAAGCGUUUUCCGUGUUGGACCGUGUACAAGUCCCUUGGAACAGGGCGUCGUAGAGGGUGAGAAUCCCGUCUUUGACACGGACUACCAAUGCUUUGUGAUGCGCUCUCAAAGAGUCGAGUUGUUUGGGAAUGCAGCUCCAAAUGGGUGGUAAUUCCAUCUAAAGCUAAAUAUAUGCGAGAGACCGAUAGCGAACAAG
RNAcentral lists this ribosomal RNA (354 nucleotides) under uncultured fungus. Its description in RNAcentral is "eukaryotic LSU rRNA". It matches the Rfam family "Eukaryotic large subunit ribosomal RNA", at positions 1 to 348 of the family's 3401-position model. Lineage: Eukaryota; Fungi. The record is from RNAcentral.